UAACUAGGUUUUAGCUCGGUGA
RNAcentral lists this microRNA (22 nucleotides) under Drosophila mojavensis. Its description in RNAcentral is "Dmo-Novel-5-P4_3p (mature (co-guide))". The record is from RNAcentral. Lineage: Eukaryota; Metazoa; Arthropoda; Insecta; Diptera; Drosophilidae.